AAGUCGUAACAAGGUCUCCGUAGGUGAACCUGCGGAGGGAUCAUUACAAGAACGCCCGGGCUUCGGCCUGGUUAUCCAUAACCCUUUGUUGUCCGACUCUGUUGCCUCCGGGGCGACCCUGCCUUCGGGCGGGGGCUCCGGGUGGACACUUCAAACUCUUGCGUAACUUUGCAGUCUGAGUAAACUUAAUUAAUAAAUUAAAACUUUUAACAACGGAUCUCUUGGUUCUGGCAUCGAUGAAGAACGCAGCGAAAUGCGAUAAGUAAUGUGAAUUGCAGAAUUCGGUGAAUCAUCGAAUCUUUGAACGCACAUUGCGCCCCCUGGUAUUCCGGGGGGCAUGCCUGUUCGAGCGUCAUUUCACCACUCAAGCCUCGCUUGGUAUUGGGCAACGCGGUCCGCCGCGUGCCUCAAAUCGUCCGGCUGGGUCUUCUGUCCCCUAAGCGUUGUGGAAACUAUUCGCUAAAGGGUGUUCGGGAGGCUACGCCGUAAAACAACCCCAUUUCUAAGGUUGACCUCGGAUCAGGUAGGGAUACCCGCUGAACUUAA
RNAcentral lists this small RNA (546 nucleotides) under uncultured Cladosporium. RNAcentral's name for it is "eukaryotic LSU rRNA". The stretch from base 202 to 355 matches the Rfam family "5.8S ribosomal RNA". The record is from RNAcentral. Lineage: Eukaryota; Fungi; Ascomycota; Dothideomycetes; Cladosporiales; Cladosporiaceae.